AUGUCGCAGGUGAGGAUCGUCGACGCGAGCUACGUCGAUGUGCCGGAGACCGCCGUCCGGCCACCGGGGCCGAUCAAGCUGACCGCCAUGGAGGCGCUGUGGAUCGUCAUCCCGGUGCUGCAGCACGUGCUGCUCUACGAGGGCGACGACGACACGCCGCCCUUCGACGCUAUCGUUCAGUCGCUUCGUUCCUCCCUCGCCGCGACUUUGCGCAGCUUCGCGCCGCUCGCCGGCAAGCUGGUCCACCUCGAGGAAACGGGGGACGUCGGCAUCAGCUGCUCCGCCUCCGACAGCGUCCGGUUCGUCGUCGCGGAGUGCGACGCAGACAUCGGGCGCCUGGCCGGAGACGAGGAGCACGACCUGCGCGUGCUCGAGGGGCUCGUGCCGGAGGUGGACAUGAGCCUGCUGCCGACCCCCGUGCUGGCCGUGCAGGCCACGCGCUUCCAGGGCGGCGUGGCGGUCGGGGUGACGGUGCACCACGGUGUCGCCGACGGCCGGGCGCUGUGGACGUUCGUUGAGGCGUGGGCGGCGGCGUGCCGGGGCGAGACGCCGGCCACGACGCCGUGCUUCGACCGCUCCCUCGUCAAGCUGCCCGGCGGCGAAGAGCUGGCCAGGAGCGUCGUACGGAAGGUGGCCCCGAAUUUGCCUUCGGUGGCACUAGCAUCAUCAGUCUUCGAAGACCGAAAGCGGCUCAUUCGCCGAACGUUCACCUUGGACGAAGGAGACAUCCAACGCCUGAAGCAGCACAUCGUCCACCUCAACGAGUCGGGCGGCACGCCCCUGCCUCGCCCGCCGUCUGCUUUCGCCACCGUCGUCGCACUCGCGUGGACGUGCUUUGCCCGGUGCAAGUCGUUCUCCUUGGAGGACGACGUGUGGCUCUUCUUCUUCGCCGACAUCCGUGAGCGCCUUGACCCUCCCGUCGCCGCGGGGUACAUUGGCUCGUGCCUCACCAAGUGCUUGGCAAGGCUCCCCGCCCGGGAGCUUCAUGGCGAGCGCGCCCUGGCGGCUGCGGCUGCGGCGGUCCAAGGCGAGAUCAACAAGAUGAAGGAAGACCCUAUCGCUGGGUGGAAUUUCUUCUCAUUCGAUCCCAUGCCUUCCAUCGACCGGCUAAUGAACAUAUCAGGCUCGUCGGGUUUUAGUGCAUACCAGAUCGCCGACUUUGGGUGGGGCAAGCCAAGGCGAACAGAGCCGAUUAGGAUGAACUCGGAUGGUCAGGUGGCACUGAUGGGCAGCAGGGAUGGCCGGGGUGUGCAGGUCUCAGUGGCACUGCUCCAAGCGGCACAAAUGGACGAGUUCAAAUCUAACUUUCUGGCGCUACUUGAGUGA
RNAcentral lists this ribosomal RNA (1326 nucleotides) under Triticum aestivum (bread wheat). Its description in RNAcentral is "partial small subunit ribosomal RNA". Lineage: Eukaryota; Viridiplantae; Streptophyta; Magnoliopsida; Poales; Poaceae. The record is from RNAcentral.